CUAUAUUGAAUGAGUGAUUAAUAGCUAUCUAGUUAGUUUGAUGUAGCAAUUGCAGUGAAUAGACCAGACAUGUUCAAAAUUUUUUAUUAGUCAGAGCAACGAUGGAUAAACGUUUCAUGAUGUCUCCUGACCAAACAACUGCAGUUGAAGUUCGUCAUUCCAAAGUGUACUGCAUGUUGUUCAAAGUUGAGGUACCUGUAGAAAAACUUUACCCUGGAGCUAAUAUUGCAGUAAAAGAGACCUCGAGCGUCUGGUAUGAAAUGUUGGUAUACCAAAAUAUAAGACAUGUGAAACAUUUCCUCAUAGAUAGAAAUAUAAACCAUGUCAAUACUGAUAAA
Long non-coding RNA from Leptinotarsa decemlineata (Colorado potato beetle), 338 nucleotides. The record is from RefSeq and is a predicted model, not a curated record. NCBI's taxonomy places the organism in Eukaryota, Metazoa, Arthropoda, Insecta, Coleoptera, Chrysomelidae.